This 245-nucleotide ribosomal RNA is filed under the name uncultured Lachnospiraceae bacterium. RNAcentral's name for it is "partial 16S ribosomal RNA". It matches the Rfam family "Bacterial small subunit ribosomal RNA", at positions 524 to 768 of the family's 1533-position model. The record is from RNAcentral. Lineage: Bacteria; Bacillati; Bacillota; Clostridia; Lachnospirales; Lachnospiraceae.
UACGUAGGGGGCAAGCGUUAUCCGGAUUUACUGGGUGUAAAGGGAGCGUAGGCGGCCAUGCAAGUCAGGUGUGAAAGCCCGGGGCUUAACCCCGGGACUGCACUUGAAACUGUGUGGCUGGAGUACGGGAGAGGCAGGCGGAAUUCCUAGUGUAGCGGUGAAAUGCGUAGAUAUUAGGAAGAACACCGGUGGCGAAGGCGGCCUGCUGGACCGAGACUGACGCUGAGGCUCGAAAGCGUGGGGAG